AGAGUUUGAUCCUGGCUCAGGAUGAACGCUAGCGGCAGGCCUAACACAUGCAAGUCGAGGGGUAACGAUGUCUUCGGACAGUCGACGACCGGCGCACGGGUGAGUAUCGCGUUUGUAACCUACCUUUAACUGGAGCAUAGCCCGAAGAAAUUCGGAUUAAUACUCCAUAACACUAUGAACUGGCAUCUUUUUAUAGUUAAAGCUCCGGCGGUUAAAGAUGGGCAUGCGUGACAUUAGUUUGUUGGUGAGGUAACAGCUCACCAAGACUACGAUGUCUAGGGGGUCUGAGAGGAUGGUCCCCCACACUGGUACUGAGACACGGACCAGACUCCUACGGGAGGCAGCAGUGAGGAAUAUUGGUCAAUGGGCGCAAGCCUGAACCAGCCAUGCCGCGUGAAGGAUGACAGCGCUAUGCGUUGUAAACUUCUUUUGUACAGGAAGAAACACUUCUACGUGUAGAAGCUGACGGACGA
RNAcentral lists this ribosomal RNA (473 nucleotides) under uncultured Bacteroidota bacterium. RNAcentral's name for it is "bacterial SSU rRNA". It matches the Rfam family "Bacterial small subunit ribosomal RNA", at positions 8 to 477 of the family's 1533-position model. Lineage: Bacteria; Pseudomonadati; Bacteroidota. The record is from RNAcentral.